UUUUUUUUUUUUUUUUGUCUUUUUUUGCUAUUUCUUGGGCCGCUCCCAUGGCAUAUGGAGGUUCCCAGGCUAGGGGUCCAAUCGGAGCUGUAGCCGCUGGCCUACACCAGAGCCACAGCAAUGCGGGAUCCAAGCCACGUCUGCGACCUACACCGCAGCUCAUGGCAACGCCAGAUCGCUAACCCACUGAGCAAGGGCAGGGACCGAACCUGCAACCUCAUGGUUCCUAGUCGGAUUCGUUAACCACUGCGCUACGACGGGAACUCCAGUCUUUUUACUUUAAAUUGGUAGAAGGACUAAAGGAAUAUCAAUAUUUAUUAGUGCCUCAGUGUCAGAUACUGUAGUAUACAUUACCUCAUUUCAGUCUUACAAAAACCCUAGGAGUGAGAGAUCACCUUUGUUUUACAGAUGAAUUAUUCCUAUCAUGUCAUUGCUAACAUGAUAGGAAUAAUACUGGGAGAAGAAGGAGGAGGCGGGGAGGGGAGGGGGAGAAGGGAAAGGAGGGCAGGGGACGGGGAAAAGGAGGAGAAAGGAAUUGGAUUCCUUUGCCACAGACCAGCCUGAGCACAAUUUUAGCUUACCACCCUGCCUCUCUGGGAAACGUUUGUUUCUCAGGAUUUUAUAAAGUGACCUUAAGUGUUUUUUUCAGGUGUAACUUAGAUUAUUUGUCAACGUGGAACCUAAAUCCAGUAUAUAUCUUAAACCACAUGUAUGAUAAAACCAGUUUUUCCCUAAAUCACAAAUAAUUUGCCAUGCAUUCAAUGUUGUAAAAAAAAAAGGAAUUCAUUAAUAUACAAAUUUUUAACUCUAUGCAAGGCAUUGGUAUCAUCUAAUCCAUCUUUUCAUUUUUUCAAAGGAGGCAGUUGAACAUGAGGCUCAUAGUCACAAAACAGUUCAUGUAGAAUCACUUGAAUUGGAACCAAAUUGCCCUGGCUUGAUAUUUUGUACUCUUUAUCCAAUUCCAAGAACAAACUAGUAACAAAAUGAAUUGAGAGGAUUUAGAGAAGGAGAAAAGGACUUAGUGGGGGAGAGCCAUAAUAGACAAAUUCAAGUCAAAAAAAAAAUUACCCACGUGACAAUUUAAUAUGUUUGUGGGUUAAGGAGAAACACAGUUUUUAUUAAUAAGGAGGAAAAAAAAUAGUUUCACUGUUUGCUGCUCUCAUAUUCAUUAUUAAGAAUAUAAUAUGAUGCAGAUGAAUUACCUUUAUUUCUCUGAGGAUAAAAGAAAAACAAAUAAUAAAAUAAUAUAAAACUCAGUAGCAAAGCAGAGAUGUAGUGAUAGUAGAAAACAAAAAAGAGAAAAUAGAUUAUUUAAAAUGAUAAAUAAAAACUUAAGCAAACAAAAAAACAUACACAAACCAAAAAAAAAAAAAAAGCAAAAAAAAAAAAUAUUCCAAGGGCAAAUUUUAAUUACUUCUAUAUAUUAUGAUGUUUUCUUAAACAUUUUGAUGGCACAGAUCAGUCAGUACUUUCAUCUUUCAUGGACUAAGGGAGAGGACAGAGGUGGAAAUUAUUCUGCCCUUGGCUGUAA
Molecule: long non-coding RNA, 1531 nt
Filed under: Sus scrofa (pig)
Lineage: Eukaryota; Metazoa; Chordata; Mammalia; Artiodactyla; Suidae
Description: lncRNA (ENSSSCG00035057111.1)
Source: RNAcentral